UCAAAUCCCAGUUUUUUCGUAGACCGCUGCGUAAGCUUGUCGCCUAGAUCGCUCGACCGCUUAUGUAAAAGUCUGCCUCGCUUCAUCCACAGACUAUGACUCUGAAAGCCCUUGUCUUAGUGGCAGCUAUGGAGUGGUUUAUGAGGCGGCCGAAGGCAAGUCCAGGUUUAAAUCAGGCCAAUGGCCAUAGACCAAUCGUCGUAGCAACGAGGGGCUUUGUUUUGUGUGUUUAGCCUGUCGCUUCUCGCUUCGCUUUCCCGCUAGGCCAAAAUGAGCUUGGGGUGCAUUUCAGGUAUUUCGAACUUUCCGUGCAUAGGUUCUGGGAAUGGGCGGCCAACGAUGGCAGCGCGCUGUGCCGCAAUGGCGUCAGAGGACUGGGCAGGGUAAAUGCGACCAGGGUGAUCGCAGUUGAACUGAGCAAGAAGUCAACGAACGAGCUUGAUUUUCGUAAGCGUUCUCAACAGUCUGUACCCUAUUACAGGUCAGCUGGUAUAAAUGAAAAAGAUAUCAUGGUAUAGGUGAUUCUAUUGGAUAGUAUACGGAACAAAUAUAUCAGCUUGGUCUUCGUGAAUCUACAUGUAGAUCGAUUGCACCAAAUUGUCAGAGGAAAGAACGCGUUUUCAGUGAUGAUUGCUACUGGGCCGUGUGUUCCGGUGCGCGGGGGCUUGCUUCUACACGUUAGCAACUAGCUAAUUUCUAACAUUUCAAAUUUUUGUUGGCUUAUAUCUGAGCCAAAUCCCUAACUGGGCCCAAAAAAUAUCAUCAUGCCUUGUCAUUUGAUUGCCUGCUUUCAAAAGAUUGUUCUAUCGCUGUCCGACUUUUGACGGAUAGCGGCGCAGCGAAAGUUUUCGGCUUCAGGUUAACUCGCUUUAAUUCAUCGUUAGCGUUCGGUGCUAUGUUAAAUGGUGAGAACUAUCGAGUGUCUCUUAACGCUGCUGGGCAUGUAUCCGUACCUCUUAAAGGCAAACGUGAAGGAGAAGCUCCUGUAGCAUGUUCUCAUUUCUAAGCGAUCGUGGAUACAUAGAUUUCGACAAGCUCUGUUGUGCGGACGAAAGGCAGAUUCGCUGCCUCGUUCUUCUGUCAGCGACCGUGCUGAGGGCCACGAGGUGAAUCAAAGGUCAAUCAGGCUUGGUACGAUCUUAAUACUAGCGGACGCUAACGUAUACGCGCAUAAACCGAGCAACAAACUCUUAGCAACAAACAUGAGGUGGCGUACUUUGCGUCCGUGUGCUCCUUCGUAGCUCAGCACCACUUUAGAGGUAGCGACUACAGGGGCUUGGUCAACGGGAAAGAUACCGCCAGCUUUAGCAGCGGCAACAGCAGAGUCAUCAUCGUGCAACAGAAACAACGAUGACACUGGCGCCGAUGAACAUGACGACGACGACUUCAAAUAAACGUUAAGGCGGAACCGUAUCAGCGGCAUGGUAGAGCCGGCAGUGGCAAUAGGGCAGAAGCUCACCUAUCGUCUCGCCUUGGUAUGACAACUCCUUCACGGAGCUGUCAGCAAUGGCCGAAAUCCGCUUUCUUGCCGUUUCUUUUCGGCAAUCCGGCGACUCAGCGCAGGUCGACUCAUCUACGAUUUCAUCGAGGCUUAACAGAAUCGCCAACGAAACGGUUUUGCAUUGGAACUGAGCGGCGCACCUCGGAGGUCACGACACGAUGACACCGAACUGCGUCUAUGGUCAGCUCACCUUCAUGAAGAAGCCCCAAAUAUAAAACAAUAUGGUAGCGCAGGACAAAGCGCAGUCGCUCCUUUCACCCAUGUUCGACGCGUGUUUAGUAUGCACGUCACAGAUAAUUGCGAAUCGAAACAAUAUCCACCCAUCCAUCUAUCCACCCAUAAAUGCCCCUAGCACACCGAGUAUUUCCACUACGACAAGAUGACGGCUAGUGCUGCUGCUGCUGCUGCUACCAAUAUGGUCAAUCUAUCCACUAAAUGCAACAGGAUACCAACAGCUCUUUCCGAGCGUGUAUAUAGCAUGGCUCGACAGGACAUAAGGGAUUGAGUAAGCAAAUAAUGACUACAGUAUGAAUGAAGGCAAACGAAAAAGUUGAAAGAGGAAGAAGAAUAUAGAGUAAAAGAUGAAUGAAGAAUGAUUUAUAUAUAUAUAUAAGGCUUUACAUAGAAUUUCCAUGUUUAGGACACGAUUUUUUCCGUCGAGCCUAACUGGUAUAUAUGUUUUUAUAGAUUCAAAAUUGUCAUGAAACUAAAGAGAUCCUAAUUAGAAGACACAUGCCAGAGAAACAGUAUAAAAAAAAAUUCCUGGAACAGGCAGCUUAAGGCCAACCGCCAGAUAUAAUUCAACUAUUUGCAGACACUAUUUGGAGGCAAAUAUUGAAUGUGAUUAUAACAAUAUAUAUAAUACAUAAAAAAAAAGUGACUGGGAAGUGAAGUAACUUCAACUCUUGGUAAACAAAAUUUACAGAUAGAAUCUAUAAAAAACGAAUUAAUUGUGAUCUUGAUAACACUUCUAAAUAACUAAUCGUUGCAUAGAGUCAAGCAAAAAUUGAUCAGCAUUUAAUAGACUGAUACCCAUAGAGAAAAUGUGCGUAGGUUUAACUCAGCACGGGUGUCCAACUGAAGUAAUUUUGUGUUCCCAAAUUUUAUAGCCAGACGC
Molecule: long non-coding RNA, 2618 nt
Filed under: Varroa destructor (honeybee mite)
Lineage: Eukaryota; Metazoa; Arthropoda; Arachnida; Mesostigmata; Varroidae
Description: uncharacterized LOC111248221, transcript variant X4
Source: RNAcentral